This 71-nucleotide transfer RNA is filed under the name marine eukaryotic metagenome. It matches the Rfam family "tRNA". From Rfam's summary of the family: Transfer RNA (tRNA) molecules are approximately 80 nucleotides in length. Their secondary structure includes four short double-helical elements and three loops (D, anti-codon, and T loops). The record is from RNAcentral.
GUGGUUAGCUCAGCUGGUUAGAGCGCCUGUUUUACACACAGGAGGCCGGGGGUUCGAGUCCCUCACUACCC